This 230-nucleotide ribosomal RNA is filed under the name uncultured bacterium. RNAcentral describes it as "partial 16S ribosomal RNA". It matches the Rfam family "Bacterial small subunit ribosomal RNA", at positions 104 to 334 of the family's 1533-position model. The record is from RNAcentral.
CGGGGUGGAGUAAUGUCUGGGAAACUGCCUGAUGGAGGGGGGUAACUACUGGAAACGGUAGCUAAUACCGCAUAACGUCUUCGGACCAAAGUGGGGGGACUCGGGGCCUCACGCCAUCGGAUGUGCCCAGAUGGGAUUAGCUAGUAGGUGGGGUAAUGGCUCACCUAGGCGACGAUCCCUAGCUGGUCUGAGAGGAUGACCAGCCACACUGGAACUGAGACACGGUCCAG